RNAcentral lists this ribosomal RNA (380 nucleotides) under uncultured eukaryote. RNAcentral describes it as "partial 18S ribosomal RNA". It matches the Rfam family "Eukaryotic small subunit ribosomal RNA", at positions 592 to 976 of the family's 1831-position model. The record is from RNAcentral.
CAAUAGCGUAUAUUAAAGUUGUUGCGGUUAAAAAGCUCGUAGUUGGAUUUCUGCCGAGGACGACCGGUCCGCCCUCUGGGUGUGUAUCUGGUUUGGCCUGGGCAUCUUCUUGGAGAACGUAGCUGCACUUGACUGUGUGGUGCGGUGUCCAGGACUUUUACUUUGAGGAAAUUAGAGUGUUUCAAGCAGGCACACGCCUUGAAUACAUUAGCAUGGAAUAAUAAGAUAGGACCUCGGUUCUAUUUUGUUGGUUUCUAGAGCUGAGGUAAUGAUUAAUAGGGAUAGUUGGGGGCAUUCGUAUUUAACUGCCAGAGGUGAAAUUCUUGGAUUUGUUAAAGACGGACUACUGCGAAAGCAUUUGCCAAGGAUGUUUUCAUUGA